AUGACAAACGAGGAAAGUAAAGCCCAAGGAGAUUUAAUGCCUGGCUCAAACAAGACAGACGAAGAGGCUAAGGGACAAGGAGAUUUAAUGCCUGGUUCAAACAAGACAGACCCCAUUUCUUACGUUACAGGCCGAGGAUUAAGAAACAAAUUUUUAUUCAAGAGCAAACUGAACCCACUUUGCAGCCUAGCGCUGUCAGGAAUACAGGGGCCAUUCCCACCCUCUUGGAGAAGGACAGAGGGCUCAGAAGGCAGAAACGGGAAAGAAAAACGACCCAAGACAGGCAUUAGUCUAUCUUGCCCCUCCCGCCCCACUCCCCCCGCAGACAGAGUUCACGAACCACCCAGACCCCGGGGGUUCAAGGACCGGGCACACGAGGAGCACUUGCGGCUCCAGCCCCAAACCCGCCGUGGGGGACCGCGGCGAGCCUGACCACGACGUGGCAGGCGGGUGCUCAGGCGUAGCAGAACGCGCGGCUGCGCCCAGUUCUCCUUCCCUGCAGACGCGGAGCAGCGAGAGAGGCUCAAGGGCCGGCGAGGGGCGGCCAGCCCAGGAAAGGGCCCGACCAGGCACCUGCCGAGAGAAUCGCCCGGCCCCGCGCUCACAAAGACCCCCGAGACAGGGCCUGACAGCCAGCUCCACUCAGCGCACACCCUCGAUCCCCGGGGGCAGCUCGGCUCGCCAGCAGCGGCAGGAGCAGAGACAGGCCGCGAGCGACGUUGGGUCGGAGGGAGGCCCGAAGGCCGGAGGAGCACCAGCUCCCGGGUCCAGGACAGGGAAGCGGGAAGAGACACAAAGCAAGUCCAUGAGGCCAGGUUGCCUGAGUGACAGCAGAGCGGAACCGGAAGAGACGUCAGAGCGCCCUUCCUCCCGCCCCUUCCGGCCAUUCUCCUUCCACUGUCUGGACAGCUCCAGGAUGCUGCACUUUGCUGGCCUGGCACUAAAUGUUGCCUGGCACCAAUUAUAGAGGGUCCCGCUCUACCCUGAGGGAAGCAGGGUCUCGGCGGCCGGAUUUACGGAAGUAGAGUCGGAGCUUUGAAGAGGUUUGUGCGCAUGCCUAGGACAAAGCAGGACUGCUGCUGGGACGUGGUGAAGUCUUUUCCGGUCGCCAGCGGGGGUCUGUUUAUUAAGCCUCCUUUGGGGAUAAGGCCGUGUGCCAGACCCUGGGCACACCAAGACCACACCGAAAACCCUGUCUCCAUCCAAAGAGCUUCCAGGAUGGGGCUGGUGCUCUCUAUCCUCGAAUCCAUGGAUCCCCAGCUUCCUUCCCUGCUCAGUUGAAGUCCCUCCUCCCACGUGGGGUCUUUCCCGCUCCCACCCCAGACCUGACCACGUGGUUGCCUCGUAUGUUGUCAGGGGCAACAGACCAUUGUUUUGUAUUUCUAUCACCGAGAACAGGUUCUUUUUUUUGUACUUUUUUUUAAAGCACGUA
Molecule: long non-coding RNA, 1432 nt
Filed under: Phascolarctos cinereus (koala)
Lineage: Eukaryota; Metazoa; Chordata; Mammalia; Diprotodontia; Phascolarctidae
Description: lncRNA (ENSPCIG00000033960.1)
Source: RNAcentral